This is a long non-coding RNA of Clupea harengus (Atlantic herring), 381 nucleotides long. The record is from Ensembl. Lineage: Eukaryota; Metazoa; Chordata; Actinopteri; Clupeiformes; Clupeidae.
UUUUGACCCUGCGAAUGUGUCCAUGCCACGGGACGACACCCCCCCUCCCACACACAAAAAAAAGUUCAGGCUCAGGAUUUUUUUUUGCUUUAACCCCUGUAGUCAGGUGUGUGUGUGUAUAUUAUUCAGGAGUGUGUUAGUCAGGUGUGUGUGUGUUAGUCAGGUGUGUGUGUGUUAGACAGGUGUGUGUGUGUUAGUCAGGAGUGUUAGUCAGGAGUGUGUGUGUGGGUCAGGUGUGUGUUAGUCAGGAGUGUGUGUGGGUCAGGUGUGUGUGUGUGUUAGACAGGUGUGUGUGUGUUAGUCAGGAGUGUGUGUGUGGGUCAGGUGUGUGUUAGUCAGGAGUGUGUGUUUGGUCAGGUGUGUGUUAGUCAGGAGUGUGUU